GAUGAAGAACGCAGUGAAAUGCGAUAAGUAAUGUGAAUUGCAGAAUUCAGUGAAUCAUCGAAUCUUUGAACGCACAUUGCGCCCCUUGGUAUUCCGAGGGGCAUGCCUGUUCGAGCGUCAUUAUAACCCCUCAAGCUCAGCUUGGUGUUGGGGCCUGCUGCACUGGCAGCCCUUAAAAUCAGUGGCGGCGCCAUCUGGCUCUAGGCGUAGUAAUUCUUCUCGCUAUGGAGUCCUGGUGGAUGCUUGCCAUCAACCCCCAAUUUUUCUAUGGUUGACCUCGGAUCAGGUAGGGAUACCCGCUGAACUUAAGCAUAUCAAUAAGCGGAGGA
RNAcentral lists this unclassified non-coding RNA (329 nucleotides) under soil metagenome. RNAcentral's name for it is "partial contains 5.8S ribosomal RNA, internal transcribed spacer 2, and large subunit ribosomal RNA". The stretch from base 1 to 120 matches the Rfam family "5.8S ribosomal RNA", at positions 35 to 154 of the family's 154-position model. The record is from RNAcentral.